UAGCGAAGGGGGCUAGCGUUGCUCGGAAUCACUGGGCGUAAAGGGUGCGUAGGCGGGUUCUUAAGUCAGAGGUGAAAUCCUGGAGCUCAACUCCAGAACUGCCUUUGAUACUGAGAGUCUUGAGUUCGGGAGAGGUGAGUGGAACUGCGAGUGUAGAGGUGAAAUUCGUAGAUAUUCGCAAGAACACCAGUGGCGAAGGCGGCUCACUGGCCCGAUACUGACGCUGAAGCACGAAAGCGUGGGGAGCAAACAGG
RNAcentral lists this ribosomal RNA (254 nucleotides) under uncultured bacterium. Its description in RNAcentral is "partial 16S ribosomal RNA". It matches the Rfam family "Bacterial small subunit ribosomal RNA", at positions 523 to 776 of the family's 1533-position model. The record is from RNAcentral.